CUGUCGGCGUGCCUAAUACAUGCAAGUCGAACGAGUUCUUGUUGAUGAUCGGUGCUUGCACCAAGAUUCAACAUGGAACGAGUGGCGGACGGGUGAGUAACACGUGGGUAACCUGCCCUUAAGUGGGGGAUAACAUUUGGAAACAGAUGCUAAUACCGCAUAGAUCCAAGAACCGCAUGGUUCUUGGCUGAAAGAUGGCGUAAGCUAUCGCUUUUGGAUGGACCCGCGGCGUAUUAGCUAGUUGGUGAGGUAAUGGCUCACCAAGGCGAUGAUACGUAGCCGAACUGAGAGGUUGAUCGGCCACAUUGGGACUGAGACACGGCCCAAACUCCUACGGGAGGCAGCAGUAGGGAAUCUUCCACAAUGGACGCAAGUCUGAUGGAGCAACGCCGCGUGAGUGAAGAAGGCUUUCGGGUCGUAAAACUCUGUUGUUGGAGAAGAAUGGUCGGCAGAGUAACUGUUGUCGGCGUGACGGUAUCCAACCAGAAAGCCACGGCUAACUACGUGCCAGCAGCCGCGGUAAUACGUAGGUGGCAAGCGUUAUCCGGAUUUAUUGGGCGUAAAGCGAGCGCAGGCGGUUUUUUAAGUCUGAUGUGAAAGCCCUCGGCUUAACCGAGGAAGCGCAUCGGAAACUGGGAAACUUGAGUGCAGAAGAGGACAGUGGAACUCCAUGUGUAGCGGUGAAAUGCGUAGAUAUAUGGAAGAACACCAGUGGCGAAGGCGGCUGUCUGGUCUGUAACUGACGCUGAGGCUCGAAAGCAUGGGUAGCGAACAGGAUUAGAUACCCUGGUAGUCCAUGCCGUAAACGAUGAAUGCUAGGUGUUGGAGGGUUUCCGCCCUUCAGUGCCGCAGCUAACGCAUUAAGCAUUCCGCCUGGGGAGUACGACCGCGAGGUUGAAACUCAAAGGAAUUGACGGGGGCCCGCACAAGCGGUGGAGCAUGUGGUUUAAUUCGAAGCAACGCGAAGAACCUUACCAGGUCUUGACAUCUUUUGAUCACCUGAGAGAUCAGGUUUCCCCUUCGGGGGCAAAAUGACAGGUGGUGCAUGGUUGUCGUCAGCUCGUGUCGUGAGAUGUUGGGUUAAGUCCCGCAACGAGCGCAACCCUUAUGACUAGUUGCCAGCAUUUAGUUGGGCACUCUAGUAAGACUGCCGGUGACAAACCGGAGGAAGGUGGGGAUGACGUCAAAUCAUCAUGCCCCUUAUGACCUGGGCUACACACGUGCUACAAUGGAUGGUACAACGAGUUGCGAGACCGCGAGGUCAAGCUAAUCUCUUAAAGCCAUUCUCAGUUCGGACUGUAGGCUGCAACUCGCCUACACGAAGUCGGAAUCGCUAGUAAUCGCGGAUCAGCACGCCGCGGUGAAUACGUUCCCGGGCCUUGUACACACCGCCCGUCACACCAUGAGAGUUUGUAACACCCGAAGCCGGUGGCGUAACCCUUUUAGGGAGCGAGCCGUCUAAGGUGGGACAAAUGAUU
This 1478-nucleotide ribosomal RNA is filed under the name uncultured organism. RNAcentral's name for it is "16S ribosomal RNA". It matches the Rfam family "Bacterial small subunit ribosomal RNA". The record is from RNAcentral.